RNAcentral lists this transfer RNA (63 nucleotides) under Triops sp. EPP1. RNAcentral describes it as "tRNA-Asp". Lineage: Eukaryota; Metazoa; Arthropoda; Branchiopoda; Notostraca; Triopsidae. The record is from RNAcentral.
AGAAAUCUAGUUUAUAAAAAUAUAGGUUUGUCAAACCUAAGAAGUCAAUUAUGACGAUAUCUA